AAGUCAACUGCCUUCCAACAAUAGGGCAUUUUCGUAAAUUCAAUUGAUUGGGCCCAUCGAACAGCAGAAAACAUAAUCACGAACAUGGAAGUGAAAAAAAAAAAAAAAAAAAAAAAUUUCCAACACAGCAUCACCGUGGGAUCGGAUCAUACAAGACUAACCCCACAAGAAAAUCACGUGGCAUCCAAGUCAACUGUGAUUUACCGUCAGCAUCACGCGCCUCGGCGACAGAUGCCAAUUUCUGGAGGUUCAACUUCACAACUGUAUCGGCAAAGAGCCGUGUGUCCUCUUCGGUAUUGCCUUCCGGGACAUCGACGACGUACGAUUCUAAAANCCCGCCGUCGCGUUCGAAUCCAUGCACAGUGGUCACCGACCGGUAAUUCCUAAGCCUGUGC
Molecule: unclassified non-coding RNA, 395 nt
Filed under: Hevea brasiliensis (rubber tree)
Lineage: Eukaryota; Viridiplantae; Streptophyta; Magnoliopsida; Malpighiales; Euphorbiaceae
Source: RNAcentral